ACACACACGCACGCACGCACGCACGCACGCACACACGCACGCACGCACGCACGCACGCAAAAAAAAGUCCUCGCUUCGUCAAAAUGUCCUCACUCUGUUGGUUAAAAACUCAUGCCGGUCAUCACAAUGUUAUGAGUACACGCACACACAUACAUAUUCCUGCACUUGUGGCACAGUGAGGACCGGCCCCCCCCCCCAAAAUGUCCUCGCUUCGUCAAAAUGUCCUCACUCUGUUGGUUAAAAACUCAUGCCGGUCAUCACAAUGUUAUGAGUACACGCACACACACACACAUUCCUGCACUUGUGGCACAGUGAGGACCGGCCAAAAAAAAAAAGUCCUCGCUUCGUCAAAAUGUCCUCACUGUUGGUUAAAAACUCAUGCCGGUCCUCACAAUGUCAUAAGUACAAAAACACACAGACACACACACACACACAUUCCUGCACUUGUGGCACAGUGAGGACCGGCCAAAAAAAAGUCCUCGCUUCGUCAAAAUGUCCUCACUCUUGGUUAAAAACUCAUGCCGGUCCUCACAAUGUCAUAAGUACAAGAACACACAGACACACACACACAUUCCUGCACUUGUGGCACAGUGAGGACCGGCCCAAAAAAAAAAAAGUCCUCGCUUCGUCAAAAUGUCCUCACUCUUGGUUAAAAACUCAUGCCGGACCUCACAAUGUCAUAAGUACAAGAACACACAGACACACACACACAUUCCUGCACUUGUGGCACAGUGAGGACCGGCCAAAAAAAAAGUCCUCGCUUCGUCAAAAUGUCCUCACUCUGUUGGUUAAAAACUCAUGCCGGUCCUCACAAUGUCAUGAGUA
This is a long non-coding RNA of Hippocampus zosterae (dwarf seahorse), 825 nucleotides long. RefSeq lists it as uncharacterized. The record is from RefSeq and is a predicted model, not a curated record. Lineage: Eukaryota; Metazoa; Chordata; Actinopteri; Syngnathiformes; Syngnathidae. The transcript is spliced from 2 exons.